GGAAUCUGGUAAAAAAAAAGACAGAAAUAUUGACAGGCAAAGACCGCUCCUUCCAAGCUCGUAUGUCCUCUGGUGAUAGCCAUUGCCCCAUUAUCCUCGGAGAAUUGCCCAAUCUCUCUCCUCCAUGCAACUGGCGAGCAAACCAACAAAACCACUACACUGACCAAAACCACCGUUUUCUCUUUUGAAAUCUCUUUCAGGGAAUAAAAAAGAAAAAAGAAAUCUCUUUCUUUCUCCUCUAAAACCUCACCUGCAAUGGCUUUCUUCUCAUUUGGGCUAUACCAUCUCCAACCAACCAAUUUAAGAAACAAUCCGUCCGCUUUCCUUCUUCCCUUAAUCUGUCUUCACUUCAUUCUCAGUUUUGUUUGGCUUUAUCUCCACUUAGAUUAGGUUCAAGAUUGCUUGGCAGUGGUCUUCUUGCAAGAGCUGAAGAUAAGGCUAGAGGGUAUUCUUCUUCUUCAACUCAGGGACAAGCUCAACAGCCCAGUAGUGCAAAACAGCUUCAGAGUUACCGUGUUUGCAUUGCAGAAUGCAUAUUGGUUAUUAUCUGAAGUUCUAGCUGCUUGUAUAGGACUAAUUUAUUGAUAUGUGAGACCCAUUCAAUCAUUCAUUACACAUUUAUUCCUCCUUUACCAGUGACAUUUUUUUUCUCAAAGAAUUACCGGUGACAUUUAGUUUAGAUUAAAGUGUAUGUUUCCCAUUCAUCUUCUGGCCACUUGCAUGAGUGCUUGAUGUAUCAUUUUUACUUGUUCAUAGAAGCUAUAAAAUAGACAUAAUUGAACUGAGAUGUCUCUCUGUGAUUUCCUUAAAUUUGUUAUAGCCCUAUCUCAUCCUACUGCUGGCUAAAUUUCAAUAAAAGGCUUCUGUUAUGUGUAACUUAUGUUGCCCAUGUGGGGUUGUCCUUUUACAGCUGCAUACUGGAUUGGUAACUAAACUUCGUUACUGAUUGAUCUAUAAAAUAGAACAACUUCAUAAAUGAUAUCCUUCAUUUGUGUGGGUGGAUGUUUGGGUAUAUUUACCUUCUUUUCUUUGAAGAAAUUUUGGAUCAUCAUGUAGCUGGAACUCCCUUGGUAAAAUAAUUUCCACAAUUAGGCUGUAGUGGAUUCUGAAUUGGGAUGCCAUAAACUGAUAGACUGGUGCAUGGAAGCAAAAUUUUUUGGCAGCAUGGUUUAUAAUGGCUUCCUGAUAACUGAACCGUGAACUAUAGAAUUCCACAUUGCUGUGUUUCAAAUAUCAAUUAUCAAUGCUUGUAAGUAUGCAAACAAAUAAAUUUGACCCUGCCAGUAUAAGUCCAAAGUCUCCCACCAUAACUAUCAUGCAAAAAUGGGUCCCUUUUUAUGUUUCAUGAAAACAACCAUAAGUUCCAGGUAUUGUCUAUUACACUGUAAUAUUUAGCUAUCACUUUCUUGAGCAGGCACCUUCGACUGAUAUAGCUGUUUCGGAGUUGACACAUGCUUCUGCAGAAGUAAGUGAGGUCGUGUUUUUCCUGCUUGGUGCCAUGACCAUCGUGGAGAUUGUUGAUGCUCAUCAAGGUUUUAGGCUGGUCACUGACAAUAUAACCACUCGAAAGCCCAAGACUCUGCUUUGAGUGGAAUGUAUUUUUCCUCGCGCAGGUUGUAGAUCCAAGGAAUAGUAGAUCAAGAUCUGCAUCAACCUAGUCAGAGUUACAUCAUUACUAUCUUGGGCUUUGCAAUUAGACCGAUUCACUGAAGCUAUCGUUCUAUACUAUUUGGUGUGAGUGGAUAUGUGCCUUUUGUUUUAAUUAAUCUUGAGGGAGGAUAUGGAAUUUCCGUAUUUCAACAUUGCUUUUGAUUGAAGUGUACUCGACCACAUCGUGCUUGCUUGCUCAAGAAAAUGAAAAUCUGCCUGAAGAGUUUGUAGUGGCUGUUCUUGUUGGCUUUUGGUUCAUUUUGCUAAUUGAAUUUCUCUUUCAAUUCUAAUGAAAUCUAUUUACACUGCAUACUUGCAUGUCUGAAGGAAGUUAAGCUUACACUAAUUGGUUAAAUAUAAACCACGAAAUUUGUUUGGCUGUAUUACCAUUUGCAGAGAACUAAAACCCUUAGUCAGAGAUAUUCCAGACUCACCAGAUAGGAACCCAAUGGCUCUAUGGAGAGCUCGUGCAGCUGUAUCACCUCACUUGAACAGGCUUUUGCAACCUGCGUCUUUCCCCUAUGUCAACAAUGCUUUCCGUGGUUUCUCUGCUGCUGAUACUUCAUUGCGGGACAAGAUGAUGAAACAAAUGGCUGCAGGAAGUUGUGCCAAGAUCUUGAAAGAGCCAACAUCAAAGUACUGUUUGGUGAAACUUCCUUUAGGAGUAGAAAAAUUGAUUGAUUCUCAGUGCCGGGCCACAAUUGGCAGAGUCUCAAAUCCUGGCCAUAAUACUCGCACGCUUAGGAAGGUUGGCCAGAGCAGAUGGUUAGGUCGAAGACCAGUUGUUCGUGGAGUAGCUAUGAACCCAGUUGAUCAUCCUCACGGUGGAGGUGAGGGUCGGAGCAAAAGUAGUGGGUCCUUUGGAAGGGUGUCACAAACACCAUGGGGCAAGCCAACUAAAUGUGGCAGGAAUCAAGAACGCAAGCGCAAUGGCAAAUUUAAAUGAUCUAUUUCUGUGGUUCCUCGUUUUGGACCGAGUAUAUAGCAGGCAGCUGUGACUUCAGGUCGAGAAAGUGUUUAGCUUUAUUUCAUUACAUGAGGGCUUAGCAUGUAGUCAUAUUUGGUGAUGCAGUGUUUUUCUUUCAUAGCUGGGAGAUUUGCAGAGGCUCACCUGGACAAAUAAACCAGGAUUGUUUCUUAACAGAUCCCGGUGCAAGUGCUGAUCUUGCUGUGAUGCAAGAAGGACUUGCACACAUCUUACUUGUCGGUAAAAGGCUUUCCUAAAGUAUAUUGAUUUCAGUGUCAUUCGUUGUGCGGUGAUUGCAAGCCCUGGUUUCACUAAGGUUGGUGGCUUGGGAGAUGUUGUGACCGGUCUUGGAAAAGCACUCAAAAAGAGAGGACACCUUGUGGAAAUUAUUCUGCCAAAAUAUGACUGCAUGCAAUAUGAUGGUCUUCCUGUUUACUUUAUUGAGCCUCAACACCCUGACAAGUUCUUUUGGAGAGGGCAGUUUUACGGAGAACAUGAUGAUUUCUAUCAUUUUUCAUUUUUCAGCCGUGCUGCACUUGAAUUGCUUCUUCAAGCUGGCAAAAAACCAGACAUAAUUCAUUGCCAUGACUAAUUUAAAAUUUGCUUCUAUAUGAAUGGGUCAUUUGAUUCUCUGUUUGGAGUUUUCUUGAAUAUUUGUUAUUUUCUUUGUGAAUGUGCAUCCAAUCCUAGAAGUCUUUCAUAUUUUAUUGAAUACGUGGGCUGCAUAACAAGAAUGGUGCCACAGAAAGGUGUACACCUUAUUAGACAUGCAAUAUACCGUACCCUAGAGUUGGGAGGACAAUUUCUACUACUUGGCUCAAGCCCAGUUGCACAUGUAUUUCUCUUUAUGCUACUGAAAAAUAUGCAAUGCUUUGUAUUUUGCAUAUAAUGUUGUCUACAAGAUUUUGAGAACAAACACACACAAGCGCGCACGCGAACAUAUGCAUUUGGAGAAUGCAUUCCCAUGGUUGCUUCCUCCUAAAGCAUCCAAACACUAUUUCAAGGUGCUUUUAGAUGCUUAACUGGAAAACAGAAAAAACAUCUCAAUUGACUGCCUUACUUGGAGAAUCUAAGAUAGUAUUUUGCAAAAAGAAUAAAAAGUCUUGAUCACUAUGCGUAAUGGAAGUAACAUGCUUGCUAUGUGGACAAACAAAUACAUAUGCAGAUAGUUGAAUUUAUGAAAUCUACAUGUGAUUUUGUUAAUGCACACCUUUGGACAUGAGCACUGGUUUUCAUUUACUAAACUAUUCUUUUCCUACUCCUCUGUCAGUUCCAAGCUUACUCCUCUCGACAGAUACUUUUAGUUUACUUGUUCAUUUCUUUUGUAGAGGGAAUUUGAGGUAUCGCAAAUCACUUUCAGAAUCAUGAGCACAUUCGGCUGAUAUUGAAGAUGAUUAACCUCUUUCUCAUUCCAUUUAUGCAGCAUCUGACAUGUUCUGUCAUCCCAUCUAUCUUUGAGCCUUGUGGCCUUACACAGUGUGAGUAGACUGGGAUACCCAACUAUAACUGGUGGUCUGAGGCUUGGUCUCUUAUGUGGGUCGUGGUACAAAUUUCUCCAAUGUCCUACCUGCAGCUACAAGGCUUUCGUCAGGUCAUUUUAACUGCUGCUUCCUUCAACGUUUCCCUUUUCCAAGCCAUUGGAAAGUUUCUACUGAAGGCAGGGCCAUGCAGAACGUAGGAUUGACAGGCUUGACGUUUUGGUCGCCAAAUGUUAACAUUUUUUGUGAUCCCAGAUGGGGAAGAGGCCAAGAGGCCCCUGGUCAAUGGUAAGCCAACAUGUGCUGAUCCAAAUCUUCUUUAUGGGGUCAUUCGAGGCGAAUGGAAAUUGAAUGGAUACAUAGUUUCUGACUGUGAUUCAGUAUAUGAGUUCUUCAAUGGACAACACUAUACCAAAACACCAGAAGAAGCUGCAGCUACAGCAAUAUUGGCAGGUCUGGAUCUCAAUUGCUGGUGAUUCUUAGGCCAGCACACUGAAGUCUUGGUCCCACUAUGAUGAGUCAAAUAUUGACAAGGCUGUCUCAAAUAAUUUUGCUACUAUGAUGAGACUUGGUUUUUUUUAUGGUGAUCCUACCAAGCAAAUCUAUGGAAAUCUUGGUCCAAAACAUGGUAUCCACUAUCAUAAGUACCAAUGACAAACAUGAACAUGAGAGCAGAUCCUUUGACGGGCUAUCCAGGUAGAACCUACAGAUUUCAUACUAGAGAAACUGUUUAUUCAUCCAAGAGCUCCAAGCAUAGUCCAUCUGCAGUGAAUCACUUCAGGCUCACGGUUUUUUACAAAAGUUUCUGAGUCAGCACAGAGACCAACAGUAUCCCAUUCAUAGUCACCUGGGAACUCACUAGUCAAGUAAGACGGAAGCUCACUGGAGAAUGGACAUGGCCAUUGCCCAUGAGCUUAGGGGCAAAGGAGAAGAGCUUCACCGCCUUGCUAUUGGAAGUGGUGGGUAGAAAAGAGAAGGGGUCCAAUGGGUAUUAAUAGAUAAUUGGGGAUGGAUUUCCUUAUCUCAGUGAAAUCUACAUUCAGGAUUCCAUAAGAGCGGUAUUUAAAUCUGUCACUUCAUUGGAAGGUGUAGAUUUUAUUUGUUUGUUCUUUUUAUCCUAUGAUAUUCUUUGGACCGCUAAAUUCUUAUAUUUAUUUAUUGUUCAAUAACGAAUAUCGACGUUCCAUAUUUGAUUGAUC
Molecule: RNA transcript, 5294 nt
Organism: Manihot esculenta (cassava)
Lineage: Eukaryota; Viridiplantae; Streptophyta; Magnoliopsida; Malpighiales; Euphorbiaceae
Gene name: beta-xylosidase/alpha-L-arabinofuranosidase 2-like
Exons: 15
Source: RefSeq, a predicted model, not a curated record